This is a long non-coding RNA of Mesocricetus auratus (golden hamster), 1057 nucleotides long. RefSeq lists it as uncharacterized. The record is from RefSeq and is a predicted model, not a curated record. NCBI's taxonomy places the organism in Eukaryota, Metazoa, Chordata, Mammalia, Rodentia, Cricetidae. The transcript has 3 exons.
CAGAUUAUGUUAAAAUCAUUUGAGAAGUUUUUGUGCCAAUAGAGAUGCAUGACCACAGGAAGCCUCUGUGAAUAAUGAGACCCUGAACACAGCCAUCCUCACACUGUUUCCAGUGGAACUGUAACAUGAGGCAUUACUCUUUUUAAGUGAGGAGAAGCAUAAAUGUAUUGAUUAUAAGCAAGACUUGAAUAACAACACCAGUGCCUAUGUGGAAGGGACCCACCCUGGAUGAAGAGCUGCAUUCAAUCAAUGACUGCUCAGAAAGGGAGACUCAGUUUUCCCCAGGAACGUGCUCCGUUAUUAGUUAUCCAAAGCCAAAAGUCUAGAAACUAGGAGUGUGUGCAAGACCCUUGCUUUUGAAGACCAUGUGAGAUGUGGCUCUGAAGACAGAACGGAAGAGGAAGUGCUGAGUCUCAAGAAGCUCCUCUCACCCAUCCACAGGAAACGUACUGAUUUCAAUGGGCCUAGAGGCCGCUUAUUAAAGAGCAGGAAGCCAUAGACAGGAGAGCAAGAAUGAGAGAGCAAGUAGGUCCCAGGAAUUAGGCGUCUGUCACCCAAAGGACAGAUUUUGUUCAAACAACUAUUACCUGUGUUUUCAGUGAACACAUCAGGUCUGUGCUUUACCCGCAGAGUUCCAAAGAAACAGUUAGUUUGCAGCCAUUUUUCCACACAGCAGUUGGAUAAGCAGUCUGACGAGAUACCCAGUCCAGGAUGCUUUGGAAAAGUGUGGUGGGUCAGACAUUUGGGGUGCAGAAAUUAGGCUACAAGGGUGGGUAUUGUAACUUUACUGUUAUAGAAAGACUUCAAAUCACAUUCAUGCUCUGUGUGCUCAUGAAGAAAAGGGGACAAAAUGAUGAAGAGUGCCAUUUCCCAAUGUUUGCUGUGCAAUCUGUCUGUCUCUGACUCUCUGAUGCCGUGUCCCUAAUUGUACACUGUAUGCUGAUUACUAGGAGUCUAAAGUUGUCAUCUAUCAAUAAAGAUCACAAAGUUUGUUUAAAUUAAAAUUUAUAUGUAUAUGAUUAUCCAGAUCUAAUGCUCGCUUAGCACUGACCACGCC